GUCUCUUUAAUGCUGAGGACUUCUAGGUGCUCGACUUAGAUUUUUUGUCCCAAAUCGGCAGAAUUUGAAGUUGCCAGAUGGUAGAUAGCAUCAGCCCGAGCAUUCUUCGAUCUCAAUAUUCUUUGGACAUUUAGCUUUUUGAAACUCUGGGAGAGAUCCUUUAUUUUUCGAAGGCAUCAGGAUAUCAUUGGAUCUUUGGCUUCGUAUUUACCUUGUACCUGACUCAUAAUGAGUUGGGAGUCGGAGAAUACCUUGACUUCAUUGGCGCCA
This 270-nucleotide long non-coding RNA is filed under the name Elaeis guineensis (African oil palm). RNAcentral describes it as "long non-coding RNA (EGUI_LNC025784)". The record is from RNAcentral. Lineage: Eukaryota; Viridiplantae; Streptophyta; Magnoliopsida; Arecales; Arecaceae.